GUAAGGUUAGGUGUGUUGAGACUAGCUUGGUAAGGUUAGGUGUGUUGGUAAGGUUAGGUGUGUUGAGACUAGCUUGGUAAGGUUAGGUGUGUUGGUAAGUUUAGGUGUGUUGGUAAGGUUAGGUGUGUUGAGACUAGCUUGGUAAGCCUAGGUGUGUUGGUAAGGUUAGGUGUGUUGAGACUAGCUUGGUAAGCCUAGGUGUGUUGGUAAGGUUAGGUGUGUUGAGACUAGCUUGGUAAGCCUAGGUGUGUUGGUAAGGUUAGGUGUGUUGAGACUAGCUUGGUAAGCCUAGGUGUGUUGGUAAGGUUAGGUGUGUUGAGACUAGCUUGGUAAGCCUAGGUGUGACGGUAAGGUUAGGUGUGUUGGUAAGGUUAGGUGUGUUGGUAAGGUUAGGUGUGUUGAGACUAGCUUGGUAAGGUUAGGUGUGUUGGUAAGGUUAGGUGUGUUGAGACUAGCUUGGUAAGGUUAGGUGUG
Molecule: non-coding RNA, 474 nt
Organism: Oncorhynchus mykiss (rainbow trout)
Lineage: Eukaryota; Metazoa; Chordata; Actinopteri; Salmoniformes; Salmonidae
Source: RefSeq, a predicted model, not a curated record